GCCCCCCUCAAGAUGAGAUUUCCCAACUUCGGUUAUAAGAUCCCUCGAAGAUGACGAGGUUAAUAGGUUCUAGGUGGAAGCGUGGUGACACGUGGAGCUGACGAAUACUAAUCGAUCGAAGACUUAAUCAAU
Molecule: ribosomal RNA, 132 nt
Filed under: Staphylococcus capitis
Lineage: Bacteria; Bacillati; Bacillota; Bacilli; Caryophanales; Staphylococcaceae
Description: partial 23S ribosomal RNA
Rfam family: Bacterial large subunit ribosomal RNA
Source: RNAcentral